RNAcentral lists this transfer RNA (70 nucleotides) under Uroplatus phantasticus. RNAcentral's name for it is "tRNA-Ala". Lineage: Eukaryota; Metazoa; Chordata; Lepidosauria; Squamata; Gekkonidae. The record is from RNAcentral.
GUAAAACUCUAAAAUACAUCUCCUGGAUGCAACCCAGACACUUUAAUUAAGCUAGCACCUCCUAAGUAAA